Molecule: long non-coding RNA, 1611 nt
Filed under: Homo sapiens (human)
Lineage: Eukaryota; Metazoa; Chordata; Mammalia; Primates; Hominidae
Description: CDKN2B and CDKN2A antisense cis and trans regulatory RNA 1, transcript variant 11 (CDKN2B-AS1)
Rfam family: CDKN2B antisense RNA 1 convserved region 3 (bases 379-522)
Source: RNAcentral
AGCUACAUCCGUCACCUGACACGGCCCUACCAGGAACAGCCGCGCUCCCGCGGAUUCUGGUGCUGCUCGCGUCCCCGCUCCCCUAUUCCCCUUAUUUUAUUCCUGGCUCCCCUCGUCGAAAGUCUUCCAUUCUUCAAACUAGAUUAUUUAAAAAUGAAAAAGGAAGAAAGGAAAGCGAGGUCAUCUCAUUGCUCUAUCCGCCAAUCAGGAGGCUGAAUGUCAGUUUUGAACUAAAAGCCGCUCCGCUCCUCUUCUAGAUUUGGAAAACAAGCGAAAUUAAACUAAACCGCUGCACGCCUCUGACGCGACAUCUGGACACGGCGCGGCGCUGGCGCUGCCGGAGCUGUCGACCCGGCCUGGCGCCGGACUAGUGUCCCUUUUGAUGAGAAGAAUAAGCCUCAUUCUGAUUCAACAGCAGAGAUCAAAGAAAAGACUUCUGUUUUCUGGCCACCAGAUAUAUGUUAUCUGUGCUUAAAGAAUUGAAAAACACACAUCAAAGGAGAAUUUUCUUGGAAAGAGAGGGUUCAAGCAUCACUGUUAGGUGUGCUGGAAUCCUUUCCCGAGUCAGUACUGCUUUCUAGAAGAAAACCGGGGAGAUCUAUUUGGAAUGUAUCUAACUCCAAAGAAACCAUCAGAGGUAACAGUAGAGACGGGGUUUCACCAUGUUGGCCAGACUGGUCUUGAACUCUCGACCUCGUGAUUCGCCCGCCUCGGCCUCCCAAAGUGCUGGGAUUACAGGUGUGAGACACCACACCCGGCGGAUAGAGAGAAUUUUGACAGGUGAUGGAGGCUUUUUAUUUUGCCACAAAACCACUGGUGACGUUGCCUGUGGCCACCUUGGAGAAGACACUGGAGGAUGAUUACGGAGCUAGGAAUUUCCUACGAAGCUGGGUGAUAAAAGGACAUUGGACAAAAACACAGAUAGCUUCAUUCUAUACCAGGAUCCAUCACUGAUUAGCUGUAUUAUAUUUGUCUCUACUGUAAUUUGAGGAGAAUGAUACCUGCUUCUCUAUCUUGUUGGGUUUUACAGAUGAUGUAUUGAAAGUUCAAUAAAAUCUAUAAACAAUAGAUCUCUGUGGCUUGAAUGGUCCUCAGAUAUCUUGACCAAUGAUUCUCAAAUGCUUACCAUAGACCAUAAUUUUUCCCCACAUGACACUGCUUCAUAUUUUUAAGUUUUUUUUCACCAAAUAUUUUGUUUUACUAUCUCCAAGCCCUGAAACUUUUUUUCUCCCUCAAACAUGACUUCAACUUUACUAUCCUGGUCCCUUUCUAUUGAAUGUGUUUUGUUUGUGUCUAUAUUUCUUAUAGUGUCUUGAACUGAUUGUACUUACGAUAUGACUUGACUAGCAUAAGAUAGAAUAGGGCAGUCAUCUUCUUUGAUCUAGACUAGAUGCUAUCCUUCUAUUAAUGCAGUUGCUAGUUUUGUAUUUGCUUGCUUUCAAUUUUUUUUUUUCAGAUUUUGGUAACCACUGUUACUUGACUCGUAUCAAACUUAUCAGUAGCUAAAACCCCCAUUUUCCCUCUUCCUGUGCUUAUUUGACUAGUUUUGUUGCGCUUUCUGAAAUGUUUCUCACUUGUUUUUGACCAAAAAAAUAAAAAUAACAAAUGCCA